This 443-nucleotide ribosomal RNA is filed under the name uncultured bacterium. Its description in RNAcentral is "partial 16S ribosomal RNA". It matches the Rfam family "Bacterial small subunit ribosomal RNA", at positions 338 to 795 of the family's 1533-position model. The record is from RNAcentral.
CCUACGGGUGGCAGCAGUGGGGAAUAUUGCGCAAUGGGGGCAACCCUGACGCAGCAACGCCGCGUGAAUGAAGAAGGCCUUCGGGUUGUAAAGAUCUUUAAUUGGGGACGAAAACAAUGACGGUACCCAAAGAAUAAGCUCCGGCUAACUACGGGCCAGCAGCCGCGUGAAUACGUAGGGAGCAAGCGUUAUCCGGAUUUACUGGGGUGAAAGGGCGAGUAGGCGGGCUGGCAAGUUGGGUGUGAAAUCCCGGGGCGUAACCCCGGAACUGCUUUCAAAACUGCUGGUCUUGAGUGAUGGAGAGGCAGGCGGAAUUCCUGGUGUAGCGGUGAAAUGCGUAGAUAUACGGAGGAACACCAGUGGCGAAGGCGGCCUGCUGGACAUUAACUGACGCUGAGGAGCGAAAGCGUGGGGAGCAAACAGGAUUAGAUACCCCUGUAGUC